UUCAUUAAUUGUAAUUUGUCUGUGCUACCCGUGUGCUGAUGCUGGUCCUGUCUUGUUCCAUAUUAAAUGUUUGACUCCCUGUACCUGCUUCGCCACUCCAGCGUCAUCCUUGUGACAGAAUGAAAUCCUUGCCUGUUCUUUGAUGUCCUGCUCCUGGCUUCUGGAUGUUGCCUGGAUUAAGGCAUGGUACAUGCAAUUCUGGCCCUCUGACAUCACCCUGGUCUCACAUCCAUCUGGUUGAACAAUGGUAAAAUGGCCGCUGUACGCAGUUUGAACACCUUGGAUUCGGUCUUGUAUGUGAGAUAACAGACCCAUCUCACUAAAAUAACAAAUCAAACACAAUCAUCAUUGUUAAGUUCAAAGAUAAAAUUCAAA
Molecule: long non-coding RNA, 375 nt
Organism: Oncorhynchus kisutch (coho salmon)
Lineage: Eukaryota; Metazoa; Chordata; Actinopteri; Salmoniformes; Salmonidae
Exons: 2
Source: RefSeq, a predicted model, not a curated record